UACGGGGGGUGCAAGCGUUAUUCGGAAUUACUGGGCGUAAAGAGCGCGUAGGCGGUCUAUUAAGUCGGGUGUGAAAUCCCGGGGCUCAACCCCGGAAGUGCACUUGAAACUAAUGGACUUGAGUAUGGGAGAGGGAAGUGGAAUUCCUGGUGUAGCGGUGAAAUGCGUAGAUAUCAGGAGGAACAUAGGUGGCGAAGGCGACUUCCUGGACCAAUACUGACGCUGAGGCGCGAAGGCGUGGGGAGCAAACAGG
RNAcentral lists this ribosomal RNA (253 nucleotides) under uncultured bacterium. Its description in RNAcentral is "partial 16S ribosomal RNA". It matches the Rfam family "Bacterial small subunit ribosomal RNA", at positions 524 to 776 of the family's 1533-position model. The record is from RNAcentral.